CGCCUUUAGACCCAAGAUUAAAGGUCCAGCCUGCCCAGUGAACUCUUUCAACGGCCGCGGUACCCUGACCGUGCUAAGGUAGCGCAAUCCCUUGCCUUUUAAUUGAUGGCUAGUAUGAAUGGCUAGACGAGCGCAAUCUUGUCUCUAAUAAUCUUCAUACAAACUAACCUUCAGGUGAAGAGGCCUGAAUUCCGUAGUAGGACAAGAAGACCCUAUCGAGCUUUAUUUUAUCUAGUUCAUUUAACUACUUCAAAUUUUGUUGGGGCAACAAAAAACCAAGCAAAGCGUUUUUUAUUUCUCUGGCCAUAUAAGCCUAUACUGACCCAGUCUAACUGACCAUAAGAAAUAGCUACCGUAGGGAUAACAGACUAAUCCCUUCCAAGAGCUCACAUUGACGAAGGAGCUUGGCACCUCGAUGUUGGCUUAGGGCCCCUCCAAAAGGCAGCACUUUUGUAAGUAGGUUUGUUCAACCUUUAAAGCCCUA
RNAcentral lists this ribosomal RNA (484 nucleotides) under Phascolion psammophilus. Its description in RNAcentral is "partial 16S ribosomal RNA". It matches the Rfam family "Bacterial large subunit ribosomal RNA", at positions 1829 to 2598 of the family's 2925-position model. The record is from RNAcentral. Lineage: Eukaryota; Metazoa; Annelida; Sipuncula; Golfingiida; Phascolionidae.